GUUCAAAAUACAGUCUCUCUGGUAUGAAUAACAUGGAAGAACACCAUGCUUGCUUCAGAACAGAGAAUCUGUAUUAAUCAACGAAACCUUAAAAUUGGAGACUCAACUGAAUUGCCACCCAGUACCUUAACAUGUGACAAUUUCAAAUCCUAUGAUGAGGUUCCAAGGGGUUGUAAAAUGGAAGAAAACAAAGAACAUGCUAAGAAAAAAAUUAAGCAAUGCAGUCCCUGUCAGGGAUAUAAAGCCAGAAUUAUGUAAAACAAAAAAAAAAUUAAAAAAUAAACACAAG
Long non-coding RNA from Saccostrea echinata, 289 nucleotides. RefSeq lists it as uncharacterized. The transcript has 3 exons. NCBI's taxonomy places the organism in Eukaryota, Metazoa, Mollusca, Bivalvia, Ostreida, Ostreidae. The record is from RefSeq and is a predicted model, not a curated record.